CUCGGUGUGCGCGCUCCCGCGCUGCGGGCCGUGCGGGUGGGAACCGCGCCGCGGCGGUGGGCGGCAGCCGGGCUUUGCCCACCGGGGCGCGGCGCCCAUCCGGUGCUUUAAUCCGUUGCGUUGCACGCCGCUGCCCGCUUUUCGUGCUCUCUCUGCUGCUGAAGGCUCCGGCAGAGGAGGCAGACCUGGAGGCCCGGAUUGUGCGGCGGUACCUCGGCGGAAAAACGCGCCGCUGUCGUCUGGAAUGGAUGCUGAGAGGACGGCUGCAUCGCCUGCACCGAGGAGGACAGGAAUCCGGGUGAUCCCAAGUGUUUGUGAUGGAGCGGUGCAGAGAAACUUAGAUCUGGUUGUCUGUGAAGGUGAAAUCCGUAAUCCAGGCUUUGUGUUUGAAGUGCUUGUCUCCUGUGCUGUCUGCAGCACAGCGAGUCCUGCAGUGCUGCUGGCAGUGCGGUGUGUACGUGUGUGGUGGCUGCCUGGUAACUGCAUGUGUGUGCAGUGAUUUGUUUUAGGCCUUCCGUCUCAAAGCUGCAUGAAAGCAUCAGGAAAAACCACUGACAACAGCGAUAUUUAGGUGGCCUUAAGGCUUUGACAGGAAAUAUCUCUCUCAGUCUUUUAAAUAUUGCAGCAUCGUUGUACUCAGCUUUUAUUUCCUCGUGUUGCAGUGAGUAUCAGAAGCAGAUGGGUGAAGCGGUAUAAAUCCCAUCAGUGCAAGGACAAAAAAAAAAUCCAGAUACCCCUAUAGAGUGUGAACUUAACCUUGUGUGUCUUGUCAUCCUUGUCACUUUGGAACUCGGGGUAUCCCUUAUUUCUCUAAGGGGAACUUUGUGGUGAUCUCAUCGCUGUACCUUCAGGAAGGAAGAGUUUUUUCCUUGCACUCAAGGGAUUAACAACUUCAGCAGAACACCGUGUCAGACUGCAGCAGAGCAGUCUUGCUGCUGCUGCUGGCAUCGCAAGGCUGCGCUGGGUGCCAGUCCUUUCCAACUGGCACCUGGAAGAAAAAAGCACAAUGCAGUUCCACUUCAUUUGGUCAGUCCCUGGCAGGAAAGUACUCCUUUCCAUCCCACUGUUCAGUGGUGUUGACUUCCAAAUCUUUUUCACUUUCAGUGACAACAGAAAUUAAAUGUUCAUUUUUACUUUUUCCACCGCUGCUCUGGAGAAAAUUUCAGACAUGUUUUGGUCCUCUGCUCUUUGAUUUCUCAUAACAGAGUUUUAGAGGGCUAUGUACUUCACUAGUCCACUGAGCUGCUGGACAUCCAAGGAGGAGUGAAAUUACCUUUUGCAAAACAACAUUUGGAUCACACAGCGUUUGGUCUAAUUUGGCUAUAGCAUCGCUGUUCUUUGAUGGGGAACAUGUCUGCUGGUGGUUGGAGGAUUGCUGAGCUCUUUUGGCCUGUGAGCCACUGCUGCAAACUGCUCAAUUUCUUUGCUUUUGAAACUGAACUAUUCCCACUGCAAAUUGACAUCUGUCCUCAUUUAGGUGAUUGUUUUAGCUUGGGAGCUGUCUCUCCAAACUAAACAGUUCUAGAUCUAUUAUAGUAGUUUUGACUAAGAACUUUCCUUUUUUCCAUCUGCUAUCAGCACCAUUUUCCUGAUUCCCUGUCCAGCAUGUGGAUAUCUUAUACAUCUUAUAUCAACAGGUAGAAUGUAUCUGGCUUUCUCUUCCACAGAUUUGAUAAAGUGUCAUAGACAAUCCCCCCUCACCUUUGAGUGGCCUUUGUUGCAGUGGAAUGCAACAGCAUGCUGUGAUGCACGCAGCGAUCCUGAUGAAUGACCUGUGGAAUGGUAGUUUGUCACAGCAGUGCGUGUUGGGGCUUGAAGCAUACAGUCCUGCUCUUCUUUAACCUGAGUUUCACACGCAGAACUGAAUUUCAACACCUCAAUCUGUGCAACUUUUUCACUUUGAAGUAAUCCCCAAAUCCCCUCAUAAAACUAGUCUUUAGAAUCCACGCUGGCCAAACUUUGUGUUUCUGGUUGGGGAGUGACAGUUCCUAUGGAGUCAUGUGUAGCAUUUGCCGAAUCCUUAAUCUGGUACAGUAUUUUGCUAACCUUCUUUCCACUAUGUCGUAGCCUGAGGUAGUUGAACAGUUCAGUUGGUGGCCUGUAUUCUGAAAAUGGGAGGCACAGGAAUUGAACCAACAGUUAGUCCUUGUUUUCCCUAGUUUUAACAGGCUUGACUUUGAAGCCAGCAUUUAAUGUGUGAGUCACUAUACUGGUAAGUACUAUGUUUGCACCAUACAAAUGCAGCAAAAGUGUCUGUCUCUUGCUUACAUGAGGUUUCCAGAGAUUGGUGGCUUUAUUUUGUGUAUAUGGAUACAAAGAAACAUAAACCUUUGUGCUGUAUAAAUGUGAUUUCCGCUUUUGGCAUAGUCCUUCUUGGUCCUGUCCCUACUGUUCACAUUCGGUGUACUUCUCUCACGAAGUUCAGAUGUUGUUAUGGGUCCCUAGUAACCUAACUUGCAUGGAUCUCUUUUCUAACGCCCUGACUUCAUAGGAGUUUCAAAGUGCCUUACUACAGUGGACUGUGAAAGCAUGGUGUGGGCUCACAGCAGUUUGGUUCUUAACCCUUUGUGCUGUGCCAUACACUGGCUCUGCUGCAUGAUUCACUCUGAUUAACUUCCUUUACAGGUGGAAAUUCUUCUUGCCAUGAAAUACACUGCUCUCUCAACACAUGACAAAGCAUUCUUCAUUAAAUAGGGUGUGAUUGUCUCACUCAGAGAGGAGCUACAUCAUUCCGCCUUUUCCUGAGCAUGACUUGAAUGUCGGAAUCAGCCCAACACAAUACAAGAACAAAGCCAUGGAAUCAAAAAUUUAGGAAAAAAUAAGUGUCUUACCUCAUUUUUUUUCCUAGCAAGGAGUUCUGCCUUAUGUGGUCUGGGGUAGAGCUGUUUCUCAUACUCAUAGCAACAUCUGUCUGGUCACUGUCAUUCACAUCAAGUAGCAGAGCAAUUUGCUCAUCAACUCAAAAAGAGACACAGAAUGAGACAUUUUCAUGAUUUUUUUCAUGAAUUUUUCCUAUGUUGACAGACCUAAUUCCUGGCUUUGUACUCUCUGGGGCAAUCAUUAAAUGAGUAGUCAAUUAAUCAAUCCUUACAAGACACGCAGACUAAAAUGUUCAAAUGCAACUACCUGAACGUGAAUGGAAGGCACUAAUGUGAAAAUGCAACAACCCUUUGCACAGUGCCCAGCGUCAAUCUCGUGCUUGCUUAUCUCACAGGAAAGUCACACCAUGGAUUUGAAUUCAUUAUUUAAUCUAGAUAUUCUCAGUGAGACACUGUCUGUCAGAAGUGUCUUUGUAAAUCAGUCUACAGGAUAUUGGAAAGGGAAGAAAUUGAUAAGAACAAGGAGACAUCUUGAAGGAAGAACCAGGAAACAGCAGAAUGGUUGGAUGUUGAGGAUCCUCCACCUCUACCAGUCAGAAUUCCCUGACCUCGAGUCUGUCUUUGUUUCAUGAACUAAGCAAAAAAAAAAAAAAAAAAAAAAAAAAAAAAAA
Phasianus colchicus (ring-necked pheasant) is the source of this 3490-nucleotide non-coding RNA. Lineage: Eukaryota; Metazoa; Chordata; Aves; Galliformes; Phasianidae. The record is from RefSeq and is a predicted model, not a curated record.